GGGGAGCGGUGCGGCAAAGGGGGAUAGGGUUUUUAGUUUUACUGAAAAUGAGUUUAGGUUGUGGGAUUGUAAUUGGGUCUUAGGGUUUUUUUUUUUAAAUUUGGGCUUGUAAUUUGGGCUGACAUGUUUUGUAAUUGGACUAUUUUUGGUUUUGUUUAUUUAUUUUUUUGGUUUCUUAUUUAGGCCCUGGCUAAAUUGGCCUAUUACACUCAAUAUUUUGAGUUUGAUAAAAUUUAAGUAUUAAGAUAGUUUGAGUCUAUAACAAUUCAAGUUAGAUUUGAGUCUGAGAUAUAUUCGAUGUAAAAUCACCUUCGAAUUUGUAUUCUGUUUGUUUUUUUAUUGCCUUUUUUCAAAAGGAAAAAAAGAUCCCUUUCUAUUUACAAAAAUCAGUUUUUGUAACCGAGGAAAUAUUACAAUAUAUGUUUUUCGAUUGCUUGCUUAUGCUUCCUUUCCCUUUUUUGUGUUUCUUGCAGGGGCGGUAAAAGUCAACGGGGUUGCCGCUGCCAUUUUGGUGCAAAGGGAAAGUUUUUGAGCGCCAUGUCCGCUGACAUGUCGGGGAGCGGCGCGGUAAAGGGGGUAUUGGUUUUUAGUUUUACUGAAAAUGAGUUUAGGUUGUGGGCUUGUAAUUGGGUCUUAGGGUUUUAUUUAUUUAUUUUGGGCUUGUAAUUUGGGCUGGGCUGACAUGUUUUGUAAUUGGAUUAUCUUUUUAUUGGACUUUAUUAUUAUUUUUGGUUUAUUUAUUUAUUUUUUUGGUUUCUUAUUUGGGCCCUAGCUAAAUUGGCA
RNAcentral lists this long non-coding RNA (783 nucleotides) under Gossypium raimondii (Peruvian cotton). RNAcentral's name for it is "long non-coding RNA (GRAI_LNC000299)". The record is from RNAcentral. Lineage: Eukaryota; Viridiplantae; Streptophyta; Magnoliopsida; Malvales; Malvaceae.